ACACCGUUGGUGAAACGGUAUCAUGCAUCGUUGCCAUUAGGACUCAACUCCCGAUUCGAUGCGGCAAGGGUUCGACUCCCUUACGGUGUA
RNAcentral lists this transfer RNA (90 nucleotides) under Kwoniella mangroviensis CBS 8507. Its description in RNAcentral is "tRNA-Gly". It matches the Rfam family "tRNA". Rfam says of the family: Transfer RNA (tRNA) molecules are approximately 80 nucleotides in length. Their secondary structure includes four short double-helical elements and three loops (D, anti-codon, and T loops). The record is from RNAcentral. Lineage: Eukaryota; Fungi; Basidiomycota; Tremellomycetes; Tremellales; Cryptococcaceae. RNAcentral also lists the same sequence under 2 other names.